Molecule: ribosomal RNA, 800 nt
Filed under: uncultured Flavobacteriia bacterium
Lineage: Bacteria; Pseudomonadati; Bacteroidota; Flavobacteriia
Description: bacterial SSU rRNA
Rfam family: Bacterial small subunit ribosomal RNA
Source: RNAcentral
GAUGAACGCUAGCGGCAGGCCUAACACAUGCAAGUCAAGGGGUAACAGGGAGUGCUUGCACUCUGCUGACGACCGGCGCACGGGUGCGGAACGCGUAUGGAACCUGCCCCUGUCAGGGGAAUAGCCCAGAGAAAUUUGGAUUAAUGCCCCAUGGUAUCGAACCACCGCAUGGUGGUUUGAUUAAAGAUUUAUCGGACAGGGACGGCCAUGCGUACCAUUAGCUAGUUGGUGAGGUAACGGCUCACCAAAGCAACGAUGGUUAGGGGCCCUGAGAGGGGGAUCCCCCACACUGGUACUGAGACGCGGACCAGACUCCUACGGGAGGCAGCAGUGAGGAAUAUUGGACAAUGGCCGAAAGGUUGAUCCAGCCAUGCCGCGUGCAGGAUGACGGCCCUAUGGGUUGUAAACUGCUUUUACAUGGGAAGAAACCUCCCCUCGUGAGGGGAGCUGACGGUACCAUGAGAAUAAGGACCGGCUAACUCCGUGCCAGCAGCCGCGGUAAUACGGAGGGUCCGAGCGUUAUCCGGAAUCAUUGGGUUUAAAGGGUCCGUAGGCGGGCCUAUAAGUCAGGGGUGAAAGGCCACGGCUCAACCGUGGGACUGCCCUUGAUACUGUAGGUCUUGAGUUAUAGUGGGGUUGCCAGAACAUGUGGUGUAGCGGUGAAAUGCAUAGAUAUCACAUAGAACACCGAUCGCGAAGGCAGGUGACCAACUAUAUACUGACGCUGAUGGACGAAAGCGUGGGUAGCGAACGGGAUUAGAUACCCCGGUAGUCCACGCCGUAAACGAUGGAUACUAGCU